AGGGUGUGUCCUUUUAAGAGAGAAUGUUUCAUUGUUGGAGAUGUGUCAUGAAUGUCAAUGGAGGUGGGCUUGGAGUCUCUCUCUCUCUCUCCUCUCUCUCUCCUCUCUCUCUCUCUCUCUCUCUCUCUCUCUCUCUCUCUCUCUCUCUCUCUCUCUCUCUCUCUCUCCUCUGCUCUACCUCCUACAUGCAAAUCCUGAUGUAAAGGUCUCAUCUAACACUCCAAUGUCAUGUCUAUCUGCUUCCCUCAAUGACUAUGGGCUAACUCUGAAACUCCCACCAACCAAAAUAUCAUCAGCAAAAUAUCUUCCAACGUGUCUGCUUCGCAAAAUGUCUUAAGAGUUUCCAGAAAAACAUCACAACUGGGUCUUUAAGGAGACCAGAAAUUUCCACUUCAAGUUGGUACCACUUCUUAUCAGCAUCAGAACUUGGGAGAGCAGGAUGCUGCAGGAGCAUGCUAACUGCCAGAGUGAUUGGUGGGACGUGCUGUUGCUGGUACAAAGAAUGAUGCUAACCCGUGAACUUGCUGAGUGUCCUGACAAUGUGACAGGAAAGCUGUAUUGGACAUUGGUUGCCUUCACACGGGAUCACUUUCAACAAGCUCAGCUAUUCACCAUGACAGUUAUCUAGCAACUUGAAGAAAUGCAUUGAGUGCAUAUUCAUAUGUCCUUCAUGGCUUUGGUCUGAAUGGAAAAGAGUGUGCUAUAGAAGGCUGGUAGUCAGAGAUGGCCCCCCUUUCAGGUAGACCCAGUUCAUCCAUGGCUUUGGACGGCAACACUCUGAGUGAAGAGAUUUGAUGGAGACAAUCCAUUUAAAGAUUCUGAAACUCAAAACAGCUCUAAUCCCCCUCUCACCAAAGCUGGGACAUAAGAUAAAUCUUAAAAUCUUCAGCAAUAAUCUGUACGACAGCCUAAUCCCAGCAUGUACGGGUGUCACGUGAUGCAAUACUCCUUUCUGAGGAGGAAAAGCAGA
RNAcentral lists this long non-coding RNA (970 nucleotides) under Mus musculus (house mouse). RNAcentral's name for it is "predicted gene, 38590". The record is from RNAcentral. Lineage: Eukaryota; Metazoa; Chordata; Mammalia; Rodentia; Muridae.